Molecule: transfer RNA, 83 nt
Filed under: Nematostella vectensis (starlet sea anemone)
Lineage: Eukaryota; Metazoa; Cnidaria; Anthozoa; Actiniaria; Edwardsiidae
Rfam family: tRNA
About the family: Transfer RNA (tRNA) molecules are approximately 80 nucleotides in length.
Source: Rfam by way of RNAcentral
ACCAGGAUGGCCGAGUGGUUAAGGUGUUGGACUUAAGUUCCAAUGUACGGAUGUACGCGUGGGUUCGAACCCCACUCCUGGUA